GGGUCAGUAGGUUGGUCGUGCCACCGGUACGUACUGGUCUCACUGAUUCCUCCUUCCUGAAGAACCGUGAUGCCAUUAAUUUGGUGUUGCGGGGAAACAGGACUGUUACUUUGAAAAAAUUAGAGUGUUUAAAGCAAGCUAACGCUUGAAUACAUUAGCAUGGAAUAAUGGAAUAGGACGAUCGAUCCUAUUUUGUUGGUUUCUAGGAUUGACGUA
RNAcentral lists this ribosomal RNA (216 nucleotides) under Glomeromycotina sp. RNAcentral's name for it is "partial small subunit ribosomal RNA". The stretch from base 40 to 216 matches the Rfam family "Eukaryotic small subunit ribosomal RNA", at positions 686 to 864 of the family's 1831-position model. The record is from RNAcentral. Lineage: Eukaryota; Fungi; Glomeromycota.